RNAcentral lists this ribosomal RNA (517 nucleotides) under uncultured bacterium. RNAcentral describes it as "bacterial SSU rRNA". It matches the Rfam family "Bacterial small subunit ribosomal RNA", at positions 162 to 688 of the family's 1533-position model. The record is from RNAcentral.
GCUAAUACCGCAUACGCCCUACGGGGGAAAGCAGGGGACCUUCGGGCCUUGCGCGAUUGGAUGAACCCAGGUGGGAUUAGCUAGUUGGUGAGGUAACGGCUCACCAAGGCGACGAUCCCUAGCUGGUCUGAGAGGAUGAUCAGCCACACUGGAACUGAGACACGGUCCAGACUCCUACGGGAGGCAGCAGUGGGGAAUAUUGCACAAUGGGGGGAACCCUGAUGCAGCCAUGCCGCGUGUGUGAAGAAGGCCUUCGGGUUGUAAAGCACUUUCAGCGAGGAUCAGUAGCUAAUCUGCUGGCUGCGUUACUCAGAAGAAGCACCGGCUAACUACGUGCCAGCAGCCGCGGUAAUACGUAGGGUGCGAGCGUUAAUCGGAAUUACUGGGCGUAAAGCGUGCGCAGGCGGUUAUGUAAAACAGAGGUGAAAUCCCCGGGCUCAACCUGGGAACGGCCUUUGUGACUGCAUGGCUAGAGUGCGGCAGAGGGGGAUGGAAUUCCGCGUGUAGCAGUGAAAUG